RNAcentral lists this transfer RNA (64 nucleotides) under Trapezia bidentata. RNAcentral's name for it is "tRNA-Pro". It matches the Rfam family "tRNA". Rfam says of the family: Transfer RNA (tRNA) molecules are approximately 80 nucleotides in length. Their secondary structure includes four short double-helical elements and three loops (D, anti-codon, and T loops). Further hydrogen bonds mediate the characteristic L-shaped molecular structure. tRNAs have two regions of fundamental functional importance: the anti-codon, which is responsible for specific mRNA codon recognition, and the 3' end, to which the tRNAs corresponding amino acid is attached (by aminoacyl-tRNA synthetases). tRNAs cope with the degeneracy of the genetic code in two manners: having more than one tRNA (with a specific anti-codon) for a particular amino acid; and 'wobble' base-pairing, i.e. permitting non-standard base-pairing at the 3rd anti-codon position. The record is from RNAcentral. Lineage: Eukaryota; Metazoa; Arthropoda; Malacostraca; Decapoda; Trapeziidae.
CAGAGAAUAGUUUAAGAAAAAUGUUAGUUUUGGGGACUAAAGACAAAAGUUAUUUUUUCUCUGA